Molecule: ribosomal RNA, 523 nt
Filed under: Thymops birsteini
Lineage: Eukaryota; Metazoa; Arthropoda; Malacostraca; Decapoda; Nephropidae
Description: partial 16S ribosomal RNA
Rfam family: Bacterial large subunit ribosomal RNA
Source: RNAcentral
GUUUUAUAAAGUCUGGCCUGCCCGCUGGUAUAAAAUUGAAGGGCCGCGGUAUCUUAACCGUGCGAAGGUAGCAUAGUCAUUAGUCUUUUAAUUGGAGGCUUGUAUGAAUGGCUGGACAAGAAGCGAACUGUCUCAAAGUAAGUAGUUGAAGUUGACUUUUAAGUGAAAAGGCUUGAAUAUUUUAAAGGGACGAUAAGACCCUAUAAAGCUUAAUAAUUUUGUGUUUAACCAAAUGAAUUGUUAGUUUAAUGUCGUUUAAACAUCGAAUUAUUUCGUUGGGGCGACGAUAAUAUAAUUUGUAACUGUUUUAAAUUUUAAUAUAGAGUUAUUUAUGUCUAACGAUCCAUUAUUGUGAUUAAAAAUUUAAGUUACUUUAGGGAUAACAGCGUUAUUUAUUUUGAGAGUUCAUAUCGACAAAAAAGUUUGCGACCUCGAUGUUGAAUUAAAAGUUCGUCACGGCGCAGUAGUUGUGGUGGUAGGUCUGUUCGACCUUUAAAUUUUUACAUGAUUUGAGUUCAAACCG